UACGUAGGGUGCAAGCGUUGUCCGGAAUUAUUGGGCGUAAAGAGCUCGUAGGCGGUUUGUCGCGUCUGCUGUGAAAAUCCAGGGCUUAACCCUGGGCCUGCAGUGGGUACGGGCAGACUAGAGUGCGGUAGGGGAGAUCGGAAUUCCUGGUGUAGCGGUGAAAUGCGCAGAUAUCAGGAGGAACACCGGUGGCGAAGGCGGAUCUCUGGGCCGUAACUGACGCUGAGGAGCGAAAGCAUGGGGAGCGAACAGG
RNAcentral lists this ribosomal RNA (253 nucleotides) under uncultured bacterium. RNAcentral describes it as "partial 16S ribosomal RNA". It matches the Rfam family "Bacterial small subunit ribosomal RNA", at positions 524 to 776 of the family's 1533-position model. The record is from RNAcentral.